Acanthopagrus latus (yellowfin seabream) is the source of this 2478-nucleotide long non-coding RNA. RefSeq lists it as uncharacterized. The record is from RefSeq and is a predicted model, not a curated record. NCBI's taxonomy places the organism in Eukaryota, Metazoa, Chordata, Actinopteri, Spariformes, Sparidae. The transcript has 3 exons.
UCUAGCUUGUUAGCUUGUAUGCCAACUCCAGUGUUUAGCUUUGUCUUUCUGGCUACUGAUUAGCAAAAUUGUCUUUCAAGUGACAGGGCACUUAUAAUGUUAGUUUGUGUUAAGUACACUCUGAAGUGGCUGAAUUGGUUUUAAACAAUUCUAAAAAAAUUACGUUACUCAUGCUUUAGAAAGGCAGCAUGGCAAAAAUGUUGCACCAAGUAAUGAUUACCUAGUAACUCUGUCUACUGCGAUGUGAGGAAUUUUGUGUGUUACUUGCAGUACUACACUUAAAAAAAUCAACUAGGGCUUGUGUUUGAUUAGCAAACUAAUACUAUGCUUACAUUACAUGAAUAAAUCAUGAUAUGUCCAUUAAAUACUUCAUUCUUGUUUGUUGUACAUGACUCAAAGAAAGUUCUGAUGGUUUAAAUUCAUUCAUGGCAAUCCAAUGAGAAUGAGGUCCAUCAAACCAGUGACUCUGAUACCUUCAGCUAUUGCGCAUGCUCCACAACACGCCCACUGGAUGCGAUAAAGUCCGUUGAGAGUUAAAGAGCACCGGCCGAGCAGAGUGAAUCCUCUGGAAAGCUUGAUAGUGAGAAUAAGCUUUACAGAAGAUCAAGCAGUCCGAAGUCCAGCACAUUCCUUUUCAAGCUGCUCAGCAGACAUGGAUAAUACGCCAUCUACAAGACUGUCAGUGUGGCCAAGUGUCUUCCCAGUCCCUCGUUUCAGCUAUGAGGCUGAACUGCAACUUGAAAAGGCCAAUGCUGAUUUGUGCUGGUGGAACUCAUUUGACGCACUCACCAAAACUGAACUCCCACCUUUCAGAAAGACUGGCUGAAGAAAUAAUCAAAUUGAAAGUCUAUCUAACUGACAAUGACCUAAAUGAAGUUGCAGAAGCCCUUGUGAAAAAGCAUCCUCGUCUGAGGGAGCAGGGAUCCUUCAAUGGCUGUUAUGGCUGGAAGAUUAGCCUCAAGUAUAAAAUGGCCAAUGUCCGGACAAAACUCAGAGGCCUGGGCUGUGCUGAGGUGAUGGUAAAUUCACUAAAGAACAAGGUCCAAGACAAAAGUCAGGCAGCGCUGAAUGUGAAAAAGCCUAGAAGGGCAGAAGUCAAUAACUGUCUGCAGCAUCCAAAAGGAGAAACCACUGACUGUGUGAAUGAAUACAUAAGCAACACUGGCCAACACUGAAGCCAUGGAGCAAACUGUGACGGGAGUGUAUGUCAUAGAGCAGGAGGGUGCACAGCCUGGAGAUAACCAUGAGGACAUUGGUGUCCUGAUUGAAGGUGUGGAGGUUUUCACUUGUUUGGGAAGCAUCGUGGUUGCUUGUUCUCAGUUAUUCCGACUGAUAUACUGUUUGAACCUAAGCUACCCAACAGAGCUCAAAUGCACUUUUCAAUUCCUACAAAAGAUUCUCAUGAGCAUGGAUGGCAGAGGUUGUCAUCCAAGGCACAGUUCCUCAAAAACAAGCUGAAAACAGACUCAUGGAAGCCAGGUAUUUUUCCAUAGCAGCAAUGCAGAUUUCUUUGUGUUUGACUUUGAAAGUUCAAAGUUAGAAUUUGUUCUGGACUAUUUGGUUUGCUCAGUAGACUUGAAACUGAAUUGUUGCCUCAUAAGUUAAAGUCUCAUACACUUACAUUAUACACACAGAAUUUACCACAUGGACAAUUGUUACAAAGGCAGCUGUACACACUGGUUUUCAAAAAAUGUGGAGCAGUCAUACGCGAACAUGAACACACAUUGAAUUAUUUCUCCACAUAAAUAGAAUAAAGUAAAAAAUAAUGGAUAUAGCCUACUUAAUGGAGCACUUAUUUACAAAGAUUUGACAUUUUCUCAUGUUAUCAAAAAGUGUGCUAGCAACAUUACAGUAAUGUUUAAUUACUUUUGAUUUAUUUUUUGAAAUGCACAUGUCAUUGCAUUGAAGUGCAAUGUUAUAACAGUGUUUAAAAUGGUGUUAAAAUGCAUAAUGUUGGUUCCAUGGCAUAUUUUAUUGCAGUUUCACAAAUAUGUUUUUAAGUUGAAUUGUUGGACGUAGAAUUUUAGAACUUGUUAUGCACAAAUCUCAAAAGAUUGCUUUAGGGCUAUUAUUUUUUGUUGGCAAAAUAGUCUACAUUUGUUCAAUUUUAAACCUUAUAUGUCAGAUGUGCCCACAUUCUGAAGGACUGUUUGUGAAUUGUUUUAUUUCCAACACAUUUCCACAAUAUGGCAGUGUUUACAUGAUGAUGAUAGUGUAGAUUGUGUAGUUUGGUCCAGAGGAAUUCAGCAUGUCUUCAUUGUUCUAGAAGUUCUGUAGGUCAUGCAUUGCUGUGAAUGAAAAAUUCUACAUGUGCCUGUUAUUUACUCUGCUCAUAUCAGCUCAGUUUGAAGGAAUCAAGGAAGUUACUGAGCACAGUGGGUUGGUGCUAAUAGGUUUAGCAUGGGAUGGUUAAAGGGGAAAAAGCUGGGCUGUUCAGGGAUCUUGGCAAUUGUUUUAAGAAUGUUGGAACGAAAUAAA